Molecule: ribosomal RNA, 253 nt
Filed under: uncultured bacterium
Lineage: Bacteria
Description: partial 16S ribosomal RNA
Rfam family: Bacterial small subunit ribosomal RNA
Source: RNAcentral
UACGAACGGUCCAAACGUUAUUCGGAAUCACUGGGCUUAAAGCGUACGUAGGCGGCUCGGAAAGUAGGGUGUGAAAUCCCACGGCUCAACCGUGGAAUUGCGCUCUAAACUAUCGAGCUAGAGGGAGAUAGAGGUGAGCGGAACUGAUGGUGGAGCGGUGAAAUGCGUUGAUAUCAUCAGGAACACCGGAGGCGAAGGCGGCUCACUGGGUCUUUUCUGACGCUGAGGGACGAAAGCUAGGGGAGCGAACGGG